GGAACAAGCAUUCUCCCAUGGAGCCAGUCGCCUUGAAUUCUGCUCUCUGGGGAGGACAGAGGCCUGGCACAAGCCAUGAUCACACAGCCGAAACUCCUUCACAACAAGCAGCUGCUCAGGUCGGCUACUUGCUUGGCAUCUGACUACACAGAAUGUGAUGUCUUAGAACCUUCCCUUCUAGUCUAAAAAGGCUGGAAGCAUCUUUGCAGAAGGGACUCAGCAGCCUGCAGUUUCCAAUGACAAAGAAGAGUAGGAGGAAAUUGGGACAGCUUCCAGGGGAGGAGGAUGGAAUCAAGAAAAAUGAAGUACCAAAUGACUUUUCUGAGGAAUGGCCUUGAGACGGCAGAGAAAAUGAUAGCAGUGGACAGUCCCCAGUGCCUCCCCUGUGCUAGGCACUCUGCAAAGUCGUUUUCCAACAUUCCUCUCCUCUACAUACGAACCAGCCAGUCAUCCCACAAGCCUGUUUCUACUACACUCCAUCCCCAAAGGCCCACAAAAUACUCACUUCUCUUCUUCCACGACAUGUUCCAGGCGGGGAACCAUGAGUUCAGGAGUCAGGGGACCGAACCGAAACCUCGUGCAGCGGGACUGCAAGGCAGGGAUGAUCUUUGACAGAUAGUUACAGAUGAGGCAGAAUCUGGUAUUUUCUGUGAAUUUCUCAAUUACUAGUAAGAGAAAAUAAAACCACUUCAUGUCAAA
This 699-nucleotide non-coding RNA is filed under the name Pan troglodytes (chimpanzee). The record is from RNAcentral. Lineage: Eukaryota; Metazoa; Chordata; Mammalia; Primates; Hominidae.